UACGGAGGGAGCUAGCGUUGUUCGGAAUUACUGGGCGUAAAGCGCGCGUAGGCGGCUUUGUAAGUUAGAGGUGAAGGCCCGGGGCUCAACCCCGGAACUGCCUUUAAGACUGCAUCGCUUGAAUCCGGGAGAGGUGAGUGGAAUUCCGAGUGUAGAGGUGAAAUUCGUAGAUAUUCGGAAGAACACCAGUGGCGAAGGCGGCUCACUGGACCGGCAUUGACGCUGAUGUGCGAAAGCGUGGGGAGCAAACAGG
RNAcentral lists this ribosomal RNA (253 nucleotides) under uncultured bacterium. RNAcentral's name for it is "partial 16S ribosomal RNA". It matches the Rfam family "Bacterial small subunit ribosomal RNA", at positions 524 to 776 of the family's 1533-position model. The record is from RNAcentral.